GCGGUGAUAGCUCAGCUGGUAGAGCGUCUGCUUCCCAAGCAGAAGGUCGCGGGUUCAAACCCCGUUCGCCGCUCCA
Molecule: transfer RNA, 76 nt
Filed under: Candidatus Pacebacteria bacterium RIFOXYA1_FULL_38_18
Lineage: Bacteria; Bacillati; Minisyncoccota
Also listed under: 3 other names
Description: tRNA-Gly
Rfam family: tRNA
About the family: Transfer RNA (tRNA) molecules are approximately 80 nucleotides in length.
Source: RNAcentral